ACUACGAGCCAAGCUUAAAACCCAAAGGACUUGACGGUACCCCACAUCCCCCUAGAGGAGCCUGUCCUAUAAUCGAUAAUCCACGUUUAACCUCACCAUUUUUAGUUAAUCAGCCUGUAUACCUCCGUCGUCAGCUUACCACAUGAGCGUUAGUUAGUGAGCCCAAUGUAUUUCACCAAAACGUCAGGUCAAGGUGCAGUAAAUGAAAUGGGAACAGAUGGGCUACACUUUCUACCUUAGAAAAAACGAAAAACUACCUAUGAAAUCUAGUUAGAAGGCGGAUUUAGUAGUAAAAAGGAAUCAGCAUAUUCAUUUUAACCCGGCA
RNAcentral lists this ribosomal RNA (325 nucleotides) under Nectophrynoides cf. tornieri HCL-2014. RNAcentral describes it as "partial 12S ribosomal RNA". It matches the Rfam family "Bacterial small subunit ribosomal RNA", at positions 879 to 1373 of the family's 1533-position model. Lineage: Eukaryota; Metazoa; Chordata; Amphibia; Anura; Bufonidae. The record is from RNAcentral.